Molecule: ribosomal RNA, 133 nt
Filed under: uncultured bacterium
Lineage: Bacteria
Description: partial 16S ribosomal RNA
Source: RNAcentral
AGGUAACGUCAAGAACAUCGGGUAUUAACCGACACCUUUUCUUCCCCUUUGAAAGUGCUUUACAACCCGCAGGCCUUCUUCACACACGCGGUAUUGCUGGAUCAGGGUUGCCCCCAUUGUCCAAUAUUCCCCC